UGGUCACAGAGGGGAUCGAAGCAGGGUAGUGGGUUAGGAUUCACACCGGUUAGGGUUUUGAGUCAGCUAUGGGAAGGGGGAGGUUUGAGAACUGGCCUCUGGGGCCACCGUGAGGGAAAGGCUCACUUUGGCUAACAAUGCUGAGGCGGGCAGGGCAGAGCAGUCCCAAGGUGUGUUGUCACUUGUCUGUCGUGCUUUCUGUGUCUUCCGUUCAUCUCGUGUAAUAUGUCUCUUGCCUUAGUCCUCCCAGGAGCUUAUGAGAAACCCCAGGUCCUUCCGGUCAUCUCCCAUCUUUCGUUCCUCGGCCCGGGGCCGACGCCGGCGAAGUUUCGAUUCGGGAGGUCAGACAGGCGUCAGAAUCGCAUCUCUAUUCAGAAGCAUCCGAUCGGAUGUCUUCUUAGGUCUUGUUCUCAGCUGUGUUGACAGCUGUGUGCAGUCAUCUUUCUUUACAGUGGAUAAGGACUUGUGCCGAUUCAAAGGCAGGCAGAGGCUUCCAGCCACAGGAUUCUCAGGCAUCCGUCUCCGCGGUUCUCGGAAUAAGUCGUUCCGUUAGCAUCUUUUUCCUCCGGGGUCAUCCGAGCCCGGCGGGCUCGCCUUCGGUCCCCCCUCGGUCAUCUCGUUCGGCAUUCUCUCGGUCCUUGUGAGGACUUUCUCGUCUCAGAGAGUUUUCUCUCCCUGUCGUGUCCCCUCGUCUCACGUGUCACGGGUGUCUGGGGGUAUUCGGUCCGGAACUGCUCUGCCCUGCCGCCCGGCCCCGUUGCAGGUGUUCAAGGACAAGUCCUGGGCACUUGUAGUGGAGAUUCGUAAUACGGGCUGUAGUUGGAGUCUAGGUAGUAUUCUUAUGUUGGCAGAAGGUGUCUGGAGCUGUGAAGUUACCCUGCAGCACUUUGACUUUUUUCCUAACUUUCUUUCAGAUGCGGAUGGAUCGACCUCCCGGCAGAGCGCCCCGUCCCAGAUGAGGGGAUCCCCCUGAGAAGGUCGGUCACGGUUUUUCUUUGCAGCGGGGCUGGAACCGGUCACUGUGUUACAGCUCUGCUCUUUGUCUUUAUUUUUAGGAAGUAAAGCCGGAUAGCAGCAGCGAAGGCGAAGCAGGUAGAAGGUGGUCUACUUGCAAGAUAUCCCAGCCCAGGAUGCCAGAGGACAGGUUCCGUGCAGAGAGGCAGAGCCGAAGUUUGCGAUCGGCCGCACCGAAGCCGGCGCGGGGGACGUCUCGACGUACGCAUCCUAUCGAGGAUGGGUCUUGUCCUAUUACGUUACAAAAGGUCUCUGAUGCCUAUUUUCUGAGGAUCUACCAUUUGAUGUUGAGAAGCAGCAGCGAGAAGAUGUCUCGGG
Poecile atricapillus (Black-capped chickadee) is the source of this 1332-nucleotide long non-coding RNA. RefSeq lists it as uncharacterized. The transcript is spliced from 4 exons. The record is from RefSeq and is a predicted model, not a curated record. NCBI's taxonomy places the organism in Eukaryota, Metazoa, Chordata, Aves, Passeriformes, Paridae.